This is a long non-coding RNA of Myotis brandtii (Brandt's bat), 2116 nucleotides long. RefSeq lists it as uncharacterized. The record is from RefSeq and is a predicted model, not a curated record. The transcript has 2 exons. Lineage: Eukaryota; Metazoa; Chordata; Mammalia; Chiroptera; Vespertilionidae.
ACACACACACACACACACUCAGGCAAAAAGAAAAUCCACCGAAAGUGCUCCUCCCACCAAACAAGAACAGGAUUGUCAGUUUUGCAGCUCGGCCAGUAUUUUCCUACACAAAUUUCACACAUCUGGAGACCCUCUGGGGAUGUUGUGUCUACUCAUCUGUGCCCCAGCCCCAAAUGCUGAGGAGGGAAAGACCCUUUGUGCUGAGUAAGUGCCCCUUCCUGCCUCUGAAUUCCCAUCGCAUGUUUCCAGGGCCUGAAAACUCACAAAGGAGCAAAUUGGAGCCCCAGGGCCUCUGCUGAAGAGGGAGAGGGAAGGGGUUUCCAAGGAAACAGCCGGCCUCUGGGACCUUCCAGAAGGGGGACCCUUGGCCUCUGCACAUGCCCCACCCUGCCCCAUCAGCUCACACUCCCUCGCCCCAACUCUGAGCUGGAUUUCUUUUUCCAAACCAAGAAGGAGUAGUGAUAGAGCCAUCUUUUCCAGGCUGUUUUGGAAGGACUGUUGCCAGAACCCCUCACAUCUUGCCCACCUUUGGUUUUAUUCCAUUGCGUUAUCAGGCAAUCAGCCACCUGCUCCCACGUGCUGAUGUGUGUUUUGGACACCACAGGUCUGCCUCCUGCUGUGUGUUCCCGCCCCAGCUCCCAAGGCCCUGACACACUGCCCUCUGCCCCUGUGGCAAGGCCUACGUUCACACUUGGACGAGGCACCUGGCCCUGCCUGAUCCUUGACCACUGCAGUGGUUCUGCUGCAUGCGUGGGGGUGGGAAGGUGGAUUCUGUCAGGUGUUCCCUCCACUCCCACCACUAAGGCUGUCUGAAUUGACUAGGUUUUGCAAUCCCAAUAGGAUGGCCUCUAACCUAACAUUGGAGACAGACCUAUGAGGUCAGGGUGGGAGGCUGGGUUCCUUGGGUGAGUGUGGACACACCUCACGGAGGCCCUGCCCAUUAGGUAAGCUCACUGGCAUUUUGGGGACCUCUGCCUAGCUUUGUACCAGGCCCCACUGUUAAACACCUAAUACAAGCCAUCACCAUGAAGACAGGCCCCAUGACCAGCGUGUUCCAGGAUGCAUGGAGAGGGAGUGUUUGUGGGCACAUCCAUCCUGCUGGGCGAAGGUGUGUGAUGCGUAUUUAUGGAACUGGUUAGUUCCCUUUCAAUGGAACUAGAUAUGUUAUGUAUAAUCUAAACUAUAUCUGUUUGCCAUCAUAAGGAGAGUAUUGUACUUAAGGUUCUUUGGGGAGAGGAGAUGUAGAUUUUGUCAGACUCUCCUGGACUUUUUUUGGUAAUGAAAUGCUUUAUUACCAUCCAGUGGUGUAAGAAGCUAAACUCUGUAUUUCCUCAUCGUCAUUGUGAUGCCUGAAAAUUAGGCCAGAAAAUGUCAACUGACGUUCAUCUCCGUCACUAUAAUCCAGAGUUUUGUGCCCAUUGCUUGCUGAAGUAGCGCUCUCUUUCAAGGGGACAUGGACUGACCAAGGGUCUCAGGCGCAGUUACCAAGGAGCCAUCCUGGAUCGUUCUCCAGAUGUGGAGCUUGAGAUGGACGACCUUGGCCGUGAAGUCCAGGCGAUUUUCUCAGGGUGUGAGAGUGUCCGCAGGCUCAGGAAGCAGGGCUAGGAAGAUGCACUUAGACUUUGCUAAUUUAGUAACAAGUUGUGCCUUUCAGCAUCACUGGGUGCAAGGAGCACCAAGGGUGAUGAUCCCCAUGAGGGCUGGCUUAUCACCAAACCUGAAGAGCUGUGGUUUCUCCAGUGAACGUUUUCUUCUAUUGAACAUGGAGCCAUUAUUAAAUGAGUUUUGUUUUUUAUUAUGUAAAUUGUAAAGUAUUUUUUGUUUGAUGCUCUAUUUUUCUAAUAGUUUUCUUACAAUUAUGAUACUAGAGUUAGAUUUUAACGCUAACUGCAAAUCAGGUUGGUCUCUGCUGGUCCCUCCUGUUUUCACUUUAUUUUAAGAACAAGCAUAGAUGUUGCCCAUCACUUUUUUAAAAUGUGAAACUGCAUCCCAUUUUCGCUGACAACACUGUGCAUCGACAACUUCUUACUGUACUUGAUGUUGUAAAAUCAAACUGUUUUGUGGUACAUUAUCUCAUGCUUCUGCAAAUUCUAAUAAAUUCUGUAGCUUCAGUGUG